AAACUUUCAACAACGGAUCUCUUGGUUCUGGCAUCGAUGAAGAACGCAGCGAAAUGCGAUAAGUAAUGUGAAUUGCAGAAUUCAGUGAAUCAUCGAAUCUUUGAACGCACAUUGCGCCCUCUGGUAUUCCGGGGGGCAUGCCUGUUCGAGCGUCAUUACA
Molecule: ribosomal RNA, 160 nt
Filed under: Ascomycota sp. Bear7
Lineage: Eukaryota; Fungi; Ascomycota
Description: 5.8S ribosomal RNA
Rfam family: 5.8S ribosomal RNA
About the family: 5.8S ribosomal RNA (5.8S rRNA) is a component of the large subunit of the eukaryotic ribosome. It is transcribed by RNA polymerase I as part of the 45S precursor that also contains 18S and 28S rRNA.
Source: RNAcentral